Molecule: ribosomal RNA, 427 nt
Filed under: uncultured bacterium
Lineage: Bacteria
Also listed under: 1 other name
Description: bacterial SSU rRNA
Rfam family: Bacterial small subunit ribosomal RNA
Source: RNAcentral
UGGGGAAUUUUGGACAAUGGGCGCAAGCCUGAUCCAGCCAUGCCGCGUGUAUGAAGAAGGCCUUCGGGUUGUAAAGUACUUUUGUCAGGGAAGAAAAGCCUGGGGAUAACACCCCUGGGUCAUGACGGUACCUGAAGAAUAAGCACCGGCUAACUACGUGCCAGCAGCCGCGGUAAUACGUAGGGUGCGAGCGUUAAUCGGAAUUACUGGGCGUAAAGCGAGCGCAGACGGUUAUUUAAGCAAGAUGUGAAAGCCCCGGGCUCAACCUGGGAACUGCGUUUUGAACUGGGUAACUAGAGUGUGUCAGAGGGGGGUAGAAUUCCACGUGUAGCAGUGAAAUGCGUAGAGAUGUGGAGGAAUACCGAUGGCGAAGGCAGCCCCCUGGGAUAACACUGACGUUCAUGCUCGAAAGCGUGGGUAGCAAACA